This 966-nucleotide long non-coding RNA is filed under the name Fukomys damarensis (Damara mole-rat). Its description in RNAcentral is "lncRNA (ENSFDAG00000032858.1)". The record is from RNAcentral. Lineage: Eukaryota; Metazoa; Chordata; Mammalia; Rodentia; Bathyergidae.
CAGUAUCUGAGAUGAACAACUUAUAACAGAACCUUUAUUUUGCCUCACAGUCUCAGAGGUUUUGGUCUAUGAAUGGGUGGCCUGGUGUCUUUUAGGCCUGUGGUGGCACAGUGAAUAGGUGCAGGAGCACAUAUUAGAGAAGGCUGCUUACCUUAUGACAGCUGGGAAGUAAAAGGAGAGGACUGGAGUCCCUAAAGCUCCCUUAAAGGCCACACCCUCAAGGACCUCACUUCCUCCCAUUAGGCCCUGCCUCCUGAAGAUUCCACCAUUUCCCAAUAACUCUAUAGAAUGAAAAAGUUUCAGCCUAUAGGGCUUUGGGAUGCAUUUAAGAUCCAAACCAUAACAAAGUCACAUUCAGAGAGCAAGUAAGAAUGAAGGUGAAGGUUACCCUAAAAGAGACCCGGCUCCUGGUGAUAUAUGUACUCACCCCAUUGCAAGCCCACAAAGUGACGGAUCAGUAGGUUUGCAAAUCUCCAGCGGUCUGCUGUUUCCAUUAGACAGUGUUGCAAGAUUAAACACAGGACAUUCUGUUAAAUGUGACUUACAGACACAGUUCCUCACUGAAUUCACCACCACUUGGCAAUGAAGAUCCUGGUGCACCCGUACCUGGCAGCUCUUUAUUCAAAGAAGGAAACCAGAGGGGGUUGAGGAUAUGCUCGCUUCAGCCCCGCUGCGAUGCCACUCAGCCAGCCAUUCCCUCCUCGGGGAAGAACACAGAAGGGAAUAGCACAGCUCUGAUACAGAGAUAUUCGCCUCACCACCGUCCCCUGUGCACCCUACUUCUGGCAGCGCAGAAUGUCAUGAGGGACCCAUCAGUCAUUUUCUUCUCUUCCUUGGCACUGACAGCAGGAUAAUAUUCUAGUUAUCUGCCCCCUGAGACUACUGAAUACCUCCCAGAAGCAUUACCUCCUCAGAGAAUGACAAGUUAACAGAGUUUCCUCAAUUAAAGGACAUUAUAUACAACGU